UACGUAGGUGACAAGCGUUGUCCGGAUUUACUGGGCGUAAAGCGUGCGCAGGCGGUUUUGUAAGCCAGAUGUGAAAGCCCCGGGCUUAACCUGGGAAUGGCAUUUGGGACUGCAAGGCUGGAGUGUGGCAGAGGAGACUGGAAUUCCUGGUGUAGCAGUGAAAUGCGUAGAUAUCAGGAGGAACACCGAUGGCGAAGGCAGCUCGCUGGGACGUUACUGACGCUGAGACGCGAAAGCGUGGGGAGCAAACAGG
RNAcentral lists this ribosomal RNA (253 nucleotides) under uncultured bacterium. RNAcentral's name for it is "partial 16S ribosomal RNA". It matches the Rfam family "Bacterial small subunit ribosomal RNA", at positions 524 to 776 of the family's 1533-position model. The record is from RNAcentral.